UGGGGAAUAUUGCACAAUGGGCGAAAGCCUGAUGCAGCAACGCCGCGUGAGUGAUGAAGGUCUUCGGAUUGUAAAGCUCUGUCUUUUGGGACGAUAAUGACGGUACCAAAGGAGGAAGCCACGGCUAACUACGUGCCAGCAGCCGCGGUAAUACGUAGGUGGCGAGCGUUGUCCGGAUUUACUGGGCGUAAAGGGUGCGUAGGCGGAUGUUUAAGUGAGAUGUGAAAUACCCGGGCUUAACUUGGGUGCUGCAUUUCAAACUGGAUAUCUAGAGUGCAGGAGAGGAGAAUGGAAUUCCUAGUGUAGCGGUGAAAUGCGUAGAGAUUAGGAAGAACACCAGUGGCGAAGGCGAUUCUCUGGACUGUAACUGACGCUGAGGCACGAAAAGCGUGGGUAGCAAACAGGAUUAGAUACCCUGGUAGUCCACGCCGUAAACGAUGAGUACUAGGUGUAGGAGGUAUCGACCCCUUCUGUGCCGCAGUAAAACACAUUAAGUACUCCGCCU
This 505-nucleotide ribosomal RNA is filed under the name uncultured bacterium. Its description in RNAcentral is "partial 16S ribosomal RNA". It matches the Rfam family "Bacterial small subunit ribosomal RNA", at positions 355 to 874 of the family's 1533-position model. The record is from RNAcentral.